UGUCUCCUCAUCUCAUGACCUUACCAGGCAGCCUCAUAGAACAAGGUGCCCUACAGAAGAAGGCACGAAGUGUCAGGGGGUACAAAGAGCAGUGAGGUAGAGACACUCCGGAGAAGAUGUCGAUCCAGAGGGAAGGCCAGGUGCCCCACUGGAGCAAAGUUAAUCAUGACAGUAAAAACAACUAACAUGCCUGAAGGCUUACGAUUCUCACGCAAGUCCCCUGUCACCACCUCCAUGCUCUUUUCUCAUCUCUGCCUAGCGCCUCUGAAUCCAAAACUCAGAGCUGGCUCCUGGGACCAGGCCAGACAAGUCUGUGAAACUGCAGGGCCACCAAGCCCUCGCUCAGCUCAGCCCUUCAGGGAGCUGGGAGCCCUACCCGAAGAGCUGUCCUGUGUAUUGGGAGACUCUGACUUCUCUAGCCUGGCCUUGUGCCUCUCUAAGAGCCCUCAGGCUUUUCCAGCUUCCAGGCCUGCAGCUCCUCUCUGGCUGGACUCAGGCUUUGAUCAGACCUGGGUGGAUCCUGAGCCUCAACAGCAGCCACAGCCAAGAGUUGCCUGGAUUGAUCUCAAUGCCUGCCCCUCCCAGGCCUAACCUGGGUUGUCCCACACCAGAUCCCCAGGAGUUGGACCACAGUGCCCCUGGGAACUGCAGGGAAGCACAGAGGACCCCACUCAGGGGCCCAUCCUCUCCACUGGCUCCUCUGGGUUCACACACCAGGCACUGUGGCUGUCCUCAGAACUGACUUCCCUGUGGCCAGAGAGCUGCCUUUCCCGCUAUGUGCUGUAACUACCUACAGUUCCUCCCGCCUCUAGGCCCACAGAGGUCGUUCUUUUCCCUGCUCUGAGCAGGAGUUAU
Long non-coding RNA from Prionailurus viverrinus (fishing cat), 855 nucleotides. RefSeq lists it as uncharacterized. NCBI's taxonomy places the organism in Eukaryota, Metazoa, Chordata, Mammalia, Carnivora, Felidae. The record is from RefSeq and is a predicted model, not a curated record. The transcript is spliced from 3 exons.